RNAcentral lists this non-coding RNA (31 nucleotides) under Mus musculus (house mouse). The record is from RNAcentral. Lineage: Eukaryota; Metazoa; Chordata; Mammalia; Rodentia; Muridae.
UAUCUGUUUUAUUCUCUGUGCACAUCUAUCC